RNAcentral lists this ribosomal RNA (538 nucleotides) under Penicillium anatolicum. RNAcentral's name for it is "eukaryotic LSU rRNA". The stretch from base 163 to 316 matches the Rfam family "5.8S ribosomal RNA". The record is from RNAcentral. Lineage: Eukaryota; Fungi; Ascomycota; Eurotiomycetes; Eurotiales; Aspergillaceae.
GCCUCUGGGUCCACCUCCCACCCGUGUUUAACGAACCUUGUUGCUUCGGCGGGCCCGCCAUACGGCCGCCGGGGGGCACCCGCCCCCGGGCCCGCGCCCGCCGAAGACACCUGUGAACGCUGUCUGAAGUUGCAGUCUGAGACAACUAGCUAAAUUAGUUAAAACUUUCAACAACGGAUCUCUUGGUUCCGGCAUCGAUGAAGAACGCAGCGAAAUGCGAUAAUUAAUGUGAAUUGCAGAAUUCAGUGAAUCAUCGAGUCUUUGAACGCACAUUGCGCCCUCUGGUAUUCCGGAGGGCAUGCCUGUCCGAGCGUCAUUGCUGCCCUCAAGCACGGCUUGUGUGUUGGGCCACCGUCCCCCGUCCGCGGGGGACGGGCCCGAAAGGCAGCGGCGGCACCGCGUCCGGUCCUCGAGCGUAUGGGGCUUCGUCACCCGCUCUUGCAGGCCCGGCCGGCGCCAGCCGACCCCCUCAACCAAAUUUCUCCAGGUUGACCUCGGAUCAGGUAGGGAUACCCGCUGAACUUAAGCAUAUCAAUAA